Molecule: long non-coding RNA, 927 nt
Organism: Pezoporus occidentalis (night parrot)
Lineage: Eukaryota; Metazoa; Chordata; Aves; Psittaciformes; Psittacidae
Exons: 2
Source: RefSeq, a predicted model, not a curated record
CCGAGAGGUAAUAAUCACCACAGUAAUUUAAAAGAAAAAAAAAAUAAAAUUGUUUCCCCAACUUCACACUCCGUCUUCAGCCCCGGACCUGGGAGCCAUCCUCAUCAUAUAGAUCGCUCCCACCUUGUCUUGGCAAACCUUGCAGCCUGCUCCAGGCCCCCCGCCCUCCCCAAGUCAGACUGUCUCGGAGCUUUAGCUUAGUCUUUUUAAUUAGCCGGCGAUGGGAAGCUAAAAGCCGUAAUGAAUUGCCGGCGGCGGACGGCGGGAGGAGGGGUGAAGGCAAAGGGUGUGGGGGGAGGGGCGCUCGCGGCAGCAGCGGCCAACCCCCGAGGCGCGGCGGUUCCGUUACAAAGUCACGUGAGGCCGUCAGGAUCCAUUGGCUGUCGUGAGAACGGGAACGGGUGACAAGCCGUGUCCCGGCAGCGCGGGGCGGCCCCGCACAUGCACAACACCGCGAGGGGAGGGAAUCACUGCCACGCUCCCCCCGCCGUCGAGAGAGGGGGAAGGGGCGUCCUGGGGGUGAGGCGGCGGAGCGCUCCAGGUAAACCACCCGCACUCCCGGUGUCCCGGGGCUCUCGCUCCGGAAUGCUCAACACCACCACCCCUCAGCGGCCCCCUGCCCGCGCCCACCGCUCUCCGGACGAGUGGGGCGCAUUCUUGUCAGGAGCUGUGUCGCUGGAACCGCUCCCGCCUGGAUAGCUAAUACCGGAGAAAGGCACAAUGCUUUUACGCCCCCCCAAGUGCACCGUCAAGUACGAUUUGUGUGGCUACAGCGCUCUCGCCCUCUUAUUUCCCUCAACUCAUUCUGCUGGUGGGAUUGUUCUUUCCUUCGUCUUCUUUUUAGAAGCCAAAAAUACAUCCUUAGUUGUCUCAACUCCCAGAACUCUUUAGCACUCCCCUUUGCAGAGAAAAAAAAAAAAAAAAACA